AGGAUAAACGCUGGCAGCGUGCCUAACACAUGCAAGUCGAACGCGCUUGCUAUCCGCGAGGACGGUGAGCGAGUGGCGGACGGGUGAGGAACACGUGGGUGACCUACCUUUCAGUGAGGGAUACCGGCGAGAAAUUGCCGACAAGACCGCAUACGCUUCUCUUUUCAAGGGGAGAAGGAAAGCUUUUCGCAAGAGAGGCGCUGGGAGAUGGGCCUGCGGCCGAUUAGCUAGCUGGUGGGGUAAUGGCCUACCAGGGCGACGAUCGGUAGCUGGUCUGAGAGGACGAUCAGCCACACUGGGAUUGAGAACGGCCCAGACUCCUACGGGGGGCAGCAGUGAGGAAUUUUCGGCAAUGGGGGCAACCCUGACCGAGCAACGCCGCGUGCAGGACGACGGCCUUCGGGUUGUAAACUGCUUUUCUCUGGGACGAGCAAGGACGGUACCGAGAGGAAGAACGCCCGGCUAACUACGCGCCAGCAGCCGCGGU
RNAcentral lists this ribosomal RNA (487 nucleotides) under uncultured bacterium. RNAcentral describes it as "SSU rRNA". It matches the Rfam family "Bacterial small subunit ribosomal RNA", at positions 26 to 521 of the family's 1533-position model. The record is from RNAcentral.